RNAcentral lists this ribosomal RNA (467 nucleotides) under uncultured bacterium. RNAcentral describes it as "partial 16S ribosomal RNA". It matches the Rfam family "Bacterial small subunit ribosomal RNA", at positions 28 to 508 of the family's 1533-position model. The record is from RNAcentral.
GACGAACGCUGGCGGCGUGCUUAACACAUGCAAGUCGAACGGUAAGGCUCCAGCUUGCUGGGGUACACGAGUGGCGAACGGGUGAGUAACACGUGGGUGACCUGCCCUGCACUUCGGGAUAAGCCUGGGAAACUGGGUCUAAUACCGGAUAGGACCAUGGUGUGGAUACUGUGGUGGAAAGUUUUUUCGGUGUGGGAUGGGCCCGCGGCCUAUCAGCUUGUUGGUGGGGUAAUGGCCUACCAAGGCGGCGACGGGUAGCCGGCCUGAGGGGGUGGACGGCCACAUUGGGACUGAGACACGGCCCAGACUCCUACGGGAGGCAGCAGUGGGGAAUAUUGCACAAUGGGCGGAAGCCUGAUGCAGCGACGCCGCGUGGGGGAUGACGGCCUUCGGGUUGUAAACUCCUUUCACCAUCGACGAAGGGUUUCUGACGGUAGAUGGAGAAGAAGCACCGGCUAACUACGUGC